Sphingopyxis bauzanensis is the source of this 79-nucleotide non-coding RNA. The record is from Rfam. NCBI's taxonomy places the organism in Bacteria, Pseudomonadati, Pseudomonadota, Alphaproteobacteria, Sphingomonadales, Sphingopyxidaceae.
UACGGCGGCAGCGAUGUCGCAGGAUGGGCUGGGAGAAGUCAGCAGAGGCCAUAGUAGUCCGGGCGACCGGACGAAGGGC